GCCUUCGUGGUGUAGUGGUCAGCACGCUUGACGCGUAUUCGAAAGGUCCGUGGUUCGAGUCCCGGCGACGGCA
Stegodyphus mimosarum is the source of this 73-nucleotide non-coding RNA. The record is from Rfam. NCBI's taxonomy places the organism in Eukaryota, Metazoa, Arthropoda, Arachnida, Araneae, Eresidae.